UGGGGAAUAUUGCACAAUGGGCGCAAGCCUGAUGCAGCAACGCCGCGUGAACGAUGAAGGUCUUCGGAUCGUAAAGUUCUGUUGCAGGGGAAGAUAAUGACGGUACCCUGUGAGGAAGCCCCGGCGAACUACGUGCCAGCAGCCGCGGUAAUACGUAGGGGGCUAGCGUUAUCCGGAUUUACUGGGCGUAAAGGGUGCGUAGGUGGUCCUUCAAGUCGGUGGUUAAAGGCUACGGCUCAACCGUAGUAAGCCGCCGAAACUGGAGGACUUGAGUGCAGGAGAGGAAAGUGGAAUUCCCAGUGUAGCGGUGAAAUGCGUAGAUAUUGGGAGGAACACCAGUAGCGAAGGCGGCUUUCUGGACUGCAACUGACACUGAGGCACGAAAGCGUGGGUAGCAAACAGG
Molecule: ribosomal RNA, 403 nt
Filed under: Verrucomicrobiota bacterium
Lineage: Bacteria; Pseudomonadati; Verrucomicrobiota
Description: Verrucomicrobia bacterium partial 16S ribosomal RNA
Rfam family: Bacterial small subunit ribosomal RNA
Source: RNAcentral